This 253-nucleotide unclassified non-coding RNA is filed under the name uncultured bacterium. RNAcentral describes it as "contains 16S-23S intergenic spacer region". It matches the Rfam family "Bacterial small subunit ribosomal RNA", at positions 524 to 776 of the family's 1533-position model. The record is from RNAcentral.
UACGGGGGUGGCAAGCGUUACUCGGAAUUAUUGGGUGUAAAGGGCAAGUAGGUGGUUUUGCAAGUGAGAGGUGAAAUCUCCCGGUUCAAUCGGGAAACUGCCUUUCAAACUGCAUAACUUGAGGAUGUCAGAGGGAAAUGGAAUUCUCGGUGUAAGGGUGAAAUCUGUAGAUAUCGAGAAGAACACCAGCGGCGAAGGCGAUUUCCUGGGACACUCCUGACACUGAAUUGCGAAAGCUAGGGGAGCGAACAGG